Salvelinus sp. IW2-2015 is the source of this 142-nucleotide non-coding RNA. NCBI's taxonomy places the organism in Eukaryota, Metazoa, Chordata, Actinopteri, Salmoniformes, Salmonidae. The record is from RefSeq and is a predicted model, not a curated record.
GCCCUUUUCAAUGACAGGAACACAGUCUAUAGGUUGUUAUCCAUCACGCCCUUUUCAAUGACAGGAACACAGUCUAUAGGUUGUUAUCCAUCACGCCCUUUUCAAUGACAGGAACACAGUCUAUAGGUUGUUAUGCAUCACG